CAGGCCUAACACAUGCAAGUCGAGCGGGCACUUUCGGGUGUCAGCGGCGGACGGGUGAGUAACGCGUGGGAACGUGCCUUCUGGUUCGGAAUAACUCAGGGAAACUUGAGCUAAUACCGGAUACGCCCUUUUGGGGAAAGGUUUACUGCCGGAAGAUCGGCCCGCGUCUGAUUAGCUAGUUGGUGAGGUAACGGCUCACCAAGGCGACGAUCAGUAGCUGGUCUGAGAGGAUUGGCCCCCACAUGGGUACUGAGAUACGGACCCAACUCCUACGGGAGGCAGCAGUAGGGAAUAUUGGGCAAUGGAGGCAACUCUGACCCAGCCAUGCCGCGUGCAGGAUGAAGGCGCUCAGCGUUGUAAACUGCUUUUACUCAUGAAGAACUAUGGUCCUGCGGGAUUAUUUGACGGUAAUGAGGGAAUAAGCACCGGCUAACUCCGUGCCAGCAGCCGCGGUAAU
Molecule: ribosomal RNA, 457 nt
Filed under: uncultured bacterium
Lineage: Bacteria
Description: bacterial SSU rRNA
Rfam family: Bacterial small subunit ribosomal RNA
Source: RNAcentral